RNAcentral lists this non-coding RNA (279 nucleotides) under Pan troglodytes (chimpanzee). RNAcentral's name for it is "HIF-1 alpha IRES". It matches the Rfam family "HIF-1 alpha IRES". From Rfam's summary of the family: This family represents the hypoxia-inducible factor 1-alpha internal ribosome entry site. HIF-1a is a subunit of the HIF-1 transcription factor, which induces transcription of several genes involved in the cellular response to hypoxia. The record is from Rfam by way of RNAcentral. Lineage: Eukaryota; Metazoa; Chordata; Mammalia; Primates; Hominidae.
CUUGUCUGAGGGGACAGGAGGAUCACCCUCGUCGUCGCUUCGGCCAGUGCGUCGGGCUGGGCCCUGACAAGCCACCUGAGGAGAGGCUCGGAGCCGGGCCCGGACCCCGGGGAUUGCCGCCCGCUUCUCUCUAGUCUCACGAGGGGUUUCCCGCCUCGCACCCCCACCUCUGGACUUGCCUUUCCUUCUCUCUCCGCGUGUGGAGGGAGCCAGCGCUUAGGCCGGAGCGAGCCUGGGGGCCGCCCGCCGUGAAGACAUCGCGGGGACCGAUUCACCAUG